Molecule: antisense RNA, 75 nt
Filed under: Micromonospora sp. M71_S20
Lineage: Bacteria; Bacillati; Actinomycetota; Actinomycetes; Micromonosporales; Micromonosporaceae
Description: ASpks TB sRNA
Rfam family: ASpks TB sRNA
Source: RNAcentral
CUUCACCGACCCGAGCCACAGCGGCCGGUCGGCGGAGCGGUCCCUGCCGUACGUCGCCAGCAGCGCCUGCGCCUC